AAGCGGUCAGUUGAGUUGGGGAGGAAGAGAGCAGCCAGAUUGAGGGAAGACAGUGGGGGGAAAAAGGGCGGGAAGAAGGCUUCCAACCUCUAGACAGCAUGCCUCGCUAGUCUUACCAAUUUUCCCGCCCUCACACCCUCGGGGAAGACUCGGGUUUUCAAACCCUUUCCCGCCCUCCCCCCUUCUCGUUCUUCCCCAGUAAACUCCCCCCUUUUUUUAAGUCCCUCCCUCUCAGCCCCUGCCAGAUUGGAAGGGCGACCCCUUGGCGGAAGGAUUAGGCUUGUGGUGAGGUCUGGGAGGGCGUUCGCGUGUAGGGCUCCGUGGGAGUAAGCCCGGGCGUCUUAACCGUCGUUCUUCCGAAGGAGCCAACCCGGGACAUAGCCGAAUGCCCCUGGCGGAGCAGGUCUUCAGGCCAUGGGCCUGGGCGAUCGAUGCCCUGUGGCCUUUUUGGUGGAAGGAAAGAGCAGAGCAGAGCACAGGCUGCCGUUGCAGGAGAAUGUUGCCUCAAUAGAUUGAAUUUGAUCAAGGCAUCCUUUCCUUCUGCCUUUCUAACUCAGAUACCAGAAGAGCAGACCAACAGCUUUGAAAAUAUCACAUCCACUUUCACCUCGGCAGAUAAUGGGUGGAAUGAAGUGUGGAAGACUAUCUCCUGGCCUCCACUGACUUGGCAGGAUAGGGAAUGUGGUCCAUUGAGGAGGUUUGUCAGUUGAAAAAGUAGCCUCUUUAUUGUUUUUGCCUCAUAUCCUUUUACACCUGGAGGCAAAGGACCUUAUAUCUGGAUGGAUUGAGGUUUUGAAGACUCACAUUGCCUACUGGCCUCUACUGCCUGGGCAAGCAGGGAAAUUUGACCCACUGAGGAAUUUUUAUCAGUUGAAAAAGUAGCCUCUUUAUUGUGUUUGCCUCUUCUAUCCCUUUACAUCCAGAGGCAGAAAACCUUAUAUCUGGAUGGAAUGAAGUUUUGAGGACUUACACUGCCUGUUGGCCUCCACUGCUUUGGCAGGCAAGAGAGUCUGGCCCACUGAAGAGUUUUUAUCAGUUGAAAAGUUAGCCUCUUUAUUGUUUUAGCCUCCUACAUCCCCUUUCAUCUAGAAACAGAGUACCCUUCAAAAUGGGUAGAAGGACAUGUUGAAGACACUCACUGUCUAUUGGCCUCUUACUGCCUUGGCAUCUGACCCACUGAAGAAUUUUAUCAGUUGAAAAAUUAGCCUCUUUAUUAUUAUAGCCUGUUUAGCUGACAACAUGAUGAGUGACUGAAUGAAGAAAUGGAUGAGGAAAAAAAAUUGACAGGGCAACUCAUCAUUAUCCUUGCCUGUUUCUUCAAGGAGAACCAUAAUCUUGACAUUGCUUUUGAAAUCACUAGUUAUUCUUGGGGAAUGAUGGAGCAAUAGGACUUGAUGUUCUGGAUAGCAGACUGAGACCCUUAAGGCCAGGUGCCUGCAUAGGCCCAGGAUGGAGAACCCACGGCUUUGGCUGAAUGCUUCCUACAGAGAAUGAGUAGGGUUGGUCUAACUGCCAGGGGAUCCUCAUCCUGGGGGAAAUCAAACUUUGAUGAUGGACAAAUUAUACAAACCUGUGAAUCUACCUCAUUUGACUGACAGAAGGAAGUUCUCCAAAUUACCCUCUUGGAGAGUGAUACCACUUGAGAUUUUCAAAACUGACUUAGAAAAACUAAUAGAGCAUUUGGGUAGCAGCUCUGAAAAUCUUCACCCUAACCUCAUUCAUCAGGGUUGUGUAUAUUGGCCUGUGAGGACCACCAGUAAAUAAAAAUACCAAUUUGGAGUAGGACUGCACCACAAAUUAAAUGUGCAUACCUAUGGAAGCCUGCUAGAGAAGCUCAGGCUAUGUUGUACAAUACAACUAGAGAACAAAAGAUUCAGGCUGCCUACCUGGCCAUUUAACACUAUCUGGAGUACCUCAUUCUGGCCAAAUUUUUCCCAGGUGGCACAGUGGGAUAUCCAAAGGCUACUAGACAAUAUGAGCAUAGCUGGGGUGGGGGUGGGGGUCGCCCAUUCGUGGUCUGUCUUAUCUGAUAAGCCUGACUAGCUUCCUAUGUAUAUGUUCUGUCAUGAGCCUGUGCAUGUACAGAUCUUUAUAAAAUUUAUUAGAUAUUUUGUAGUUUCCAUACACCAUUGUGUCUUUUCUAUAUAGCUCAUCAAAUUGUAUAAUUUAAUAAUUCCUAUUUGUGACCACCUGGCUGUCUGAAGCAAGGAGGGCAAGAAGCUUACCCGCUCCUACUAGUCUAGGGAUUGAUAUGUCGACCAGACACAGGCCUAACAUGGAGUUGUGAAGUCGAAAAGAGGAUCUACAGCUGAAGAUUGAGGGCUCCUUGGAAAUUGAUCAUUCAUUAAUGCAGAAAGUAAUUGGACUGCCUGAGACUGCCAGUAAGACUAUGAAGAUCUGGAAUCAAUGUGUAUACUUGAGAAAGACAGCUUGAACAUUGAAUUGGAAGCCCACUUCAUCAACUGCUUGGGGCUGGAAAUGCAUCACAUCCUUCAGAGAGACAAACUUGCCUAUGAACUUCUCAUUUGAAGAAGCUAGCAACAUGCUGCUCUGAAUCUAUGCAUCUAAGCUAUUGUCUUUAUACUACCAGUGGGAUGGAUGACCACCACUGUCUGCUUGUGACUCAUUGCUGCUUGCUGUUGGCUGUUUAAGCUGCAGCCCAAGUUGGGCACAGUGGAGGACGAAUUGGGACAGAUCUUGCAUAACUGCAGUGACCAUGGAGCGACGUGGAGCCAGCAGGAUGGGACACAGGCUGUUGCUGUUUUGAGAGAGACUUUCGGCUAGAAUUGGACUGGAAUGGUAGUAACUCCUAUGAACCUCAGCUCCUGGUGAGAUCGGGCUAACAGGACCGAUCCCAAACCCUAGUGUUUUUCUCCUGUUUUCUCUGGUUGUUCACAGAGCUGAUUUCAGCAAGUUCCAAAGACAAUUCUUUCCCUUAUUCUUUUCCGCAUCUAUAAGCUGGGAGGAGGUUUGGGGGGAGACAAAUCAAAGGAUGCAGUUUCUUUACAACUUUGCUGUAUGACAGCUCCUUUACUGUGUUUUAAUAAACCAUGUGGUUGCUGAAAAGCAAGUUGUCUGAGUGUUAUGAAUUAGGCUGAUAGCAGAUUUCCCAUAUAUGGGGCCAAGGUGGAACCACUAAGAGCCAAGGGAAGAUUUCUGUAACUUCCAUUUUUCAGUGCAAUAUUUACUUUCUUCUCCCCUAGAUUGUAAUUUGGAAUUGGCUAUUGAGGGCAGCUAAAGCUGUCCAGCUACUCCCAUAGUGGGGAGGGAAGAGAGUGUAGAAGGGGGUCUGAGAGGUGUAGAAGGGCAUCUCAGAGGUGUAGGUGAGCAGUGUUUGGUGAGCUUUGGGACCAUUGAGAUCAUCUGGAAAGCCUGCCACGUGCGUGUUGCAUGUGCCUUGAUGAAAACAUUUGGCUGGUGACUUGAGCAUGAGACCUAGUUAAAAGAGGGUCUGUUAUACUCCCUUCCUGGUUAAUUAAUUGAUAGUCUGCUUUUCUAUAGGUUGAAGAAGGCAAGUAUAUACCAACUAAGCGUGAGCUGCUAUUGAUAUUGAGGGAUGUAGGACAUAACAUCAGCUAUACAUUUUAUCUGUACCACUGUCAUAUAUAUUUUGUUUUGAUGGUUUCUUUUGAUUGUUUCAGUUUUUCUGUAUAUUUAUAUUCUAUGUAGUAAUAAAUAUUCAGUGUUGUUUUAGGAAAUUUUAUAAAACUGUGCUGUUAGUGGUUGGGAAAGGACUUUAAUCGUAUUGGUAAGAUCCAGCAUGUUACUGUGAGGGUGGCAUCUUCCCUGAGGAUCGAAGUACCAUGAGUGCUUUAUUAAUUAGAAAAAUAAAAUUUUUU
Vombatus ursinus (common wombat) is the source of this 3839-nucleotide long non-coding RNA. RefSeq lists it as uncharacterized. The transcript is spliced from 4 exons. The record is from RefSeq and is a predicted model, not a curated record. Lineage: Eukaryota; Metazoa; Chordata; Mammalia; Diprotodontia; Vombatidae.